UACAGAGGUCUCAAGCGUUGUUCGGAUUCAUUGGGUGUAAAGGGUGCGUAGGCGGCGCGGUAAGUCGGGUGUGAAAUCUCGGAGCUUAACUCCGAAACUGCAUUCGAUACUGCCGUGCUUGAGGACUGGAGAGGAGACUGGAAUUUACGGUGUAGCGGUGAAAUGCGUUGAUAUCGGCUGGAACUCCGAUGGCGAAGGCAAGGUGCUGGACCAUUACUGACGCUGAUGCACGAAAGCUAGGGGAGCAAACAGG
Molecule: ribosomal RNA, 253 nt
Filed under: uncultured bacterium
Lineage: Bacteria
Description: partial 16S ribosomal RNA
Rfam family: Bacterial small subunit ribosomal RNA
Source: RNAcentral